Molecule: long non-coding RNA, 1863 nt
Organism: Pseudophryne corroboree (corroboree frog)
Lineage: Eukaryota; Metazoa; Chordata; Amphibia; Anura; Myobatrachidae
Exons: 3
Source: RefSeq, a predicted model, not a curated record
CAAGAUGUCUGUGAUAUCAUUGUCCUUCAUCCAUUGCAAGCUCUGGUGGAACUCUUCAUCCAAGUAUUCCAGAUCACUGAGAUCACAGGGACUAGACAAACAUGGGUAUAAUCUGAGGAGGGCCUUAUAGAAUGGUCGUGUGAAGAAGGCAUCCAGAAGAUACUGGUGAAUAAGAGCAAGGCCAAGGAUACGCCCACUAAAUCGGAACCUGGAGCACAAGAGAAAUGAAUCAUAAGCCGAAGGAAAAGACAGGAGGGCAGAUGCAGCUACCCCUCCAUACCAUCCUUUCCAUUUCACUAGGACGUGGGCGGAAUGCGGGAGAGACAGCCACCCUGCCAGGGGUGCGGGGGACUCCUGGACAUUUCAGCAGAGUAGCUAACUAUGAUACUUGUUUUGGUAUAAGCUUAAUAUGCAUUUCAAUGCAUUUGCAAGUGUCUUGUUUAUCUGUGUUUAUUAAACAUAUGCCAAUGGCAAAACAGGAGUGAAUAUAGAAAUGCAAAUGUUGAUACUUUUUAAUUGCGUCUCUUGGCAAUUAUAAAGCGUUACUUUUGAGAUGAAUGCAAGUGUGGGUUCGGAUUUACCCGGUUUUACCCAGAUCUCAAAUUGGCAUCUUACUGGCUCUCGGUUGUCACGUGUUUUGGAUAGCCAAUAAGAAAAAUCUGGAUAAAUCCGAACAUGCAUUAAUUUUGGCGUUAAGAACCGAGUAAAUCAGAACCCGCACAUCUCUACUGAUUAAACGUCCACCUAUUGUGUACUGUAUCAAUGCCUAUUUCUCUAUAGACAGGGCCGUCUAUUUGUAUGGGCUCAAUGGGCACUUGCCCAAGGGCCCCAGAAGUAUAAGGGCCCUAGGCAGAUAGCUGAGGGUCCCCUCUUUCCAGGGGUACCAGAUUUAGAAAAUCGGCCCUGGGGAACCGGAGAUAUCUGACUUCAAAGCAGUUGUCUCCAUCCGAGCCUGUUAAUUGCUCUUCCCAGCCAGAUAUCUCAGGUUCUAUCUGACGUAGUUUUUCUGAAUGUAUUCUCCAAAUGCUGGGACUCUCCCCUUUCACUGGACACUGGCAGCUUGUCUCUACUAUGCCCAGAAUCAGAGAUAUCAGCCUUCCAGCAGCUGAUCCCCGCUCCAGCUCCACAUGCCUGGUAUACAGUUUCAUAUUUUCGUUGGUGGAUUGCUCUGGCCUGCACUCUUAUCCUCAAGUGUCCAAUACCUCCUGAAAGGUGUGGCUUUCUAGUGUUUUUAUCUAAUUGAAAGCUAAGAAAUCUAUUUCCAGGAACUGGAGAUAUCUGCAGACAAGCAAGCUGCCCUCCCACCAGAAAAUUAUGAAUAUUAAGCUAACUCCACUAUCCACCCCUCAUCUGCAUAUUAAACACUCCCUUCCACCCUGGAAGUCAGUGUUCUCCCUCCCGCCCAAUCUCCCACCAUCUGUGCGUAAAGUAAUAAUUAGCAGAAAUUACUCCUCCAGGUCCUACAUACUGAGCGGAAGAUAAAAUACCCCCUACCACCUGCAGGACAUUGAAGCUGCCACUGAUAGCACACCCCACCCCUACCGCUGAAGGAUGGGUAGGGGCUCCAGUGCAUUGCUGCACCCAGGGGCCUACACUGUUGUUAAGACUGCCCUGUCUAUAGAUUAUAAGCUUGUGAGCAGGGCCUUCCUGCCUCUAUGACUGUUUGUCAUUACCCAGUUUUGCUUUAUCAUUGUUUCCAGUUGUAAAGCGCAAUAGAAUUUGCUACGCUUUCUAAGAAACUGCUAAUAAAUAAUAAUAAAUAAACGUGUUUAACUUGCGUUAUAGGCAUCAUAGUAACACCAGUAACGAUAUAGCCAAAAUCAUACAGCACGAUAUAACUCUGAGAAAGGGGUCCAGGGUAAG